Molecule: ribosomal RNA, 437 nt
Filed under: uncultured bacterium
Lineage: Bacteria
Description: bacterial SSU rRNA
Rfam family: Bacterial small subunit ribosomal RNA
Source: RNAcentral
ACUCCUACGGGAGGCAGCAGUGGGGAAUAUUGCACAAUGGGCGCAAGCCUGAUGCAGCCAUGCCGCGUGUAUGAAGAAGGCCUUCGGGUUGUAAAGUACUUUCAGCAGUGAGGAAGGUGGAGUCGUUAAUAGCGGCCUCAUUUGACGUUAGCUGCAGAAGAAGCACCGGCUAACUCCGUGCCAGCAGCCGCGGUAAUACGGAGGGCGCAAGCGUUACUCGGGAAUCACUGGGCGUAAGAGCGUGUAGGCGGAUCGAUAAGUCAGGAGUGAAAUCCUNUGGCUCAACCAUAGAACUGCUCUUGAAACUGUCAAUCUAGAGUAUGGGAGAGGUAGAUGGAAUUUCUGGUGUAGGGGUAAAGUCCGUAGAGAUCAGAAGGAAUACCGAUUGCGAAGGCGAUCUAUUCUGGAACAUAACUGACGCUGAGACGCGAAAGCGU